AGUGAACGCUGGCGGUAGGCCUAACACAUGCAAGUCGAACGGCAGCACAGUAAGAGCUUGCUCUUACGGGUGGCGAGUGGCGGACGGGUGAGGAAUACAUCGGAAUCUACUUUUUCGUGGGGGAUAACGUAGGGAAACUUACGCUAAUACCGCAUACGACCUACGGGUGAAAGCAGGGGAUCUUCGGACCUUGCGCGAUUGAAUGAGCCGAUGUCGGAUUAGCUAGUUGGCGGGGUAAAGGCCCACCAAGGCGACGAUCCGUAGCUGGUCUGAGAGGAUGAUCAGCGAAACUGGAAGUGAGACACGGUCCAGACACCUACGGGAGGCAGCAGUGGGGAAUAUUGGACAAUGGGCGAAAGCAUGAUCCAGCAAUACCGCGUGGGUGAAGAAGGAGUUAGGGUUGUAAAGCCCUUUUGUUGGGAAAGAAAAGAAGCAGGUUAAAACCCCGCUGUUCUGACGGUACCCAAAGAAUAAGGACCGGCUAACUUCGUG
RNAcentral lists this ribosomal RNA (492 nucleotides) under uncultured bacterium. RNAcentral describes it as "partial 16S ribosomal RNA". It matches the Rfam family "Bacterial small subunit ribosomal RNA", at positions 29 to 507 of the family's 1533-position model. The record is from RNAcentral.